AGGGGGCCCGGCCUAUGUUCCUUGGAACAGGGCGUCGCAGAGGGUGAGAAUCCCGUUCUUGGCCGGACAGCCCCUCCGGUGUGCAGUGUCUUCUACGAGUCGAGUUGUUUGGGAAUGCAGCUCAAAAUGGGUGGUAAAUUUCAUCUAAAGCUAAAUAUGGGCGAGAGACCGAUAGCGCACAAGUAGAGUGAUCGAAAGAUGAAAAGCACUUUGAAAAUAGAGUCAAACAGCACGUGAAAUUGUUGAAAGGGAAGCGCUUGAGACCAGACUCGGCCAUGGACUAACAGCUGUCCCUUCUGGGCGGUGCACUUGUCCUUGGCCGGGCCAGCAUCGGUUGGGACGGCGGGACAAAGGCUGGGGGAAUGUGACUCCCUUGAGGAGUGUUAUAGCCCCCGGCGCCAUGCCGCCCGCCCCGACCGAGGACCGCGCUUCGGCUAGGAUGCUGGCGUAAUGGUCUUCAGCGGCCCGUCUUGAAACACGGACCAAGGAGUCUAACAUCUAUGCGAGUGUUUGGGCUU
This 518-nucleotide ribosomal RNA is filed under the name Tuber aestivum (summer truffle). RNAcentral describes it as "eukaryotic LSU rRNA". It matches the Rfam family "Eukaryotic large subunit ribosomal RNA", at positions 169 to 701 of the family's 3401-position model. The record is from RNAcentral. Lineage: Eukaryota; Fungi; Ascomycota; Pezizomycetes; Pezizales; Tuberaceae.